Molecule: transfer RNA, 76 nt
Filed under: Staphylococcus saprophyticus subsp. saprophyticus KACC 16562
Lineage: Bacteria; Bacillati; Bacillota; Bacilli; Caryophanales; Staphylococcaceae
Description: tRNA-Ala
Source: RNAcentral
UGGUGGAGACUAGCGGGAUCGAACCGCUGACCUCCUGCGUGCAAAGCAGGCGCUCUCCCAUCUGAGCUAAGCCCCC